This 497-nucleotide ribosomal RNA is filed under the name uncultured bacterium. Its description in RNAcentral is "partial 16S ribosomal RNA". It matches the Rfam family "Bacterial small subunit ribosomal RNA", at positions 28 to 507 of the family's 1533-position model. The record is from RNAcentral.
GAUGAACGCUGGCGGCGUGCCUAAUACAUGCAAGUCGAGCGAACAGACGAGGAGCUUGCUCCUCUGACGUUAGCGGCGGACGGGUGAUUAACACGUGGAUAACCUACCUAUAAGACUGGGAUAACUUCGGGAAACCGGAGCUAAUACCGGAUAAUAUAUUGAACCUCAUGGUUCAAUAGUGAAAGACGGUUUUGCUGUCACUUAUAGAUGGAUCCGCGCCGCAUUAGCUAGUUGGUAAGGUAACGGCUUACCAAGGCAACGAUGCGUAGCCGACCUGAGAGGGUGAUCGGCCACACUGGAACUGAGAGACGGUCCAGACUCCUACGGGAGGCAGCAGUAGGGAAUCUUCCGCAAUGGGCGAAAGCCUGACGGAGCAACGCCGCGUGAGUGAUGAAGGUCUUCGGAUCGUAAAACUCUGUUAUUAGGGAAGAACAAAUGUGUAAGUAACUAUGCACGUCUUGACGGUACCUAAUCAGAAAGCCACGGCUAACUACGUG